RNAcentral lists this ribosomal RNA (1329 nucleotides) under uncultured marine eukaryote. RNAcentral describes it as "SSU rRNA". It matches the Rfam family "Eukaryotic small subunit ribosomal RNA", at positions 451 to 1787 of the family's 1831-position model. The record is from RNAcentral.
CUCGAUGACAGAGGUAGUAAUAAUAAAUAACAAUACAGGACUCGUCCGAGGCCUUGUAAUUGGAAUGUUUUUAAGAUAAAGACAUGAAGGAGGAACCAUUAGAGGGCAAGUCUGGUGCCAGCAGCCGCGGUAAUUCCAGCUCUAAUAGCGUAUUUUAAUGUUGUUGCGGUUGAAAAGCUCGUAGUUGGAUAUCAUUGAAUGUAUAAGUUCAAUGUGAAUUGUUCUUAUACAGGAGAGGGAAGUCUAGCGGUGAAAAUAAACUUGAAUGUUUAUUUCCACAUAACGCUUGGCUUAAGUUACUUUGAAUAAGUCAAAGUGCGCAAUACAAGCUUUUGCUUGAAUAGACGUGCAUGGAUAACGCAAGAAGAUCAAUAUCGAAUCUGUUGGUUGAAUCGAUAUGGGUAAUGAUUAAUAGAGAUUGACGGGGGCAUUUGUAUUUGAAAGCGAGAGGUGAAAUUCUGUGACCUUUCAAAGACAUGCUAAAGCGAAAGCACUUGCCAAGAAUGUUUUCACUAAUCAAGAACGAAAGUUAGAGGUUCGAAGGCGAUUAGAUACCGCCCUAGUUCUAACCAUAAACAAUGCCAACUAACAAUCUUGUGUAGUUUAAGUUGAAACUAACAAGGAAGUUUUCGGAAAACCAAAGUUUUUGGGUUCCGGGGGUAGUAUGGUUGCAAAGCUGAAACUUAAAGUAAUUGACGGAGUGGCACCACCAGGAGUGGAGCCUGUGGCUUAAUUUGACUCAACACGGGGAAGCUCACCAGGGCAAGACACUAUUAGGAUUGACAGAUUGAUAGCUCUUUCUCGAUAAAGUGGGUGGUGGUGCAUGGCCGUUCUUAGUUGGUGGAGUGAUUUGUCUGGUUAAUUCCGAUAACGAACGAGACUCUGACCAAUUACUAGUGAAAUCUUUAGGAAAGAAAGUUACCGCAGUAAUGCAGUUUCAUUCGAGAUAUUACUUCUUAAGGGGACACGCUAUUGUGAAUAGCACGAGGAAGAGCAAUAACAGGUCUGUGAUGCCCUUAGAUGUUCUGGGCUGCACACGCGCUACAAUAAAUUAAUAAACAAGUUCUCCGUUUUGACAGAUGCGGGCAAACUUUUGAAAUUAAUUUAUGGUAGGAAUGGGAACUUGCAAUUAUUUUCCCUGAACUAGGAAUUCCUAGUAAACGCAAGUCAUCAGCUUGCGUUGAUUUAGUCCCUGCCACUUGUACACACCGCCCGUCGCUACUACCGAUCGGAUUUAUUAGUGAGAUCUAAAGACUUGAGGUGAAAUAACUUUCUUGUUAAUAACCGUCAAGGAAAUAGUUCAAACUGAUAUUUCUAGAGGAAGUAAAA